UCUUCUGCAGUUUAUUUUGGUACAAAGAUCGAAGACAUAAUAUCAGUAUAAUAAUUUCCAUUUGUUUGUCAUGAACCUUGCAGUUGGAUUGCUUCUGCACUAGGGGAAUGCUCGCAUUAUUAUAAGAGUUAAUUGCUAUUACAUCCAAACAGUAUGUACAUGUUAAAUGCAUUUACCCUGUUCAAGAACUCGUCUGAUUAACCAGUUAACUUGCUGAUUAAUCCCUACUUGUAGGGUCACCGAGUAGCCAAUAAACUGAUAAAUUGUCGGAUUAAUUAAUUAAGUGGUCUAUUAACCUAUUAAUCCCUUGUCAGCCAACCGAGCAGCUACCAGUUAACGGUUUACUUAACAAUGAUUUAUAGUGAUUUGAACAAUUUGGCUAGAGGUAAAUAAAUUCUUCAGUGAACUAAGAAUCUGUGGUAAAAUAGAUGCUCAUGGUAGUGCAAGUUCUUGUAGUCCACUUGAAAUCUCCCUGAGGACCUGAUCUUGUUUCAAGUGAUUGUGUGUUGCUUUUCUUCAAUUCCUCAACAGGUUAAUCCAAUUGAGUGAUAUAAUUCAUGGACCUGAUUUCUUUGACAUAUUUAAUGGGUAUGGUACUAUUUGUUCAAGAGUCAUCCCAUUAACAUCAGAGCAACACAAGAAAGAUGUGCUUGAGAGGUUCUUACAAGCCCUGUACAUAUCUCCAGAAAGGGGCUCAUUUGUUCAUGGAACUUGGGGUGAUAGGAUCUUUGAUGUAUGAGCCAUCCUAUGGGAAUUCAGGUGCUGACAAUCUAAUAACAAAGGAAUUGACCCUCAAAUUUGCAACCAAGAUUAUAGUUGGCGAACAAUUUGCAAUUUAUGUAGUCACACCAAUGUGACCUUAAGGAGUCCCUACCUCAGUCUCUGCAAGAAAUUCCUUUCUUUCAGGCUGCUCGCGGUGCCAGUCGGUGCACCCAUCCGCGUGUUACUUCAGCAUGACAUUUUUAUAGAUAUUUUUUCUGGAAUACGCAUAGCAUGCGUAUCAUCUAUUGAAAGUACCUUCAGGUGGAGUACACAUAGGACAAGCUGCAGAAAAUACAUUCAGGAAGAUGACAACACCCUUCCACUCAAGCUCGGAGACAGCACCAUGAGCUGCGUGCGACACUCGCUUCAUACUUGGAACCGACAAGAGGGCCAACCUCAUGACGAACUGGUCAUGGUUUCGCCACCAUGCCAACAUCCAUGAAGGCGACAUAUGCGCCUUCCAUUUCAAGCGCAUGGAAGGGCAUCACCUACCCCUCAACGUCCAUCGUCUCUAGAUGUAAUGCCAUCAGCAACACCUACCGUCUACAUAUAUGAAUCAUCUAUUGUGUUUAGCUUAGCUCUUAGACUUCCUGCGUUGUGAUGGCCCAAUGAACACGUUCACAACUGCACCGGCAAGGCAAGUACACAAAGGACCGCACAGGAGGCGCGCCUAGGGCGCGCCCCAACCACUAGUCAUAGAGAGUAGAUGAACACAUAUCACAGAGAGUAGAUAAACAUGCGGAAGCGAAAACACUUCAAUGCGAGGGCAGAUGAACAUGCCGUA
This is a long non-coding RNA of Triticum dicoccoides, 1546 nucleotides long. RefSeq lists it as uncharacterized. The transcript is spliced from 5 exons. NCBI's taxonomy places the organism in Eukaryota, Viridiplantae, Streptophyta, Magnoliopsida, Poales, Poaceae. The record is from RefSeq and is a predicted model, not a curated record.